Peromyscus californicus insignis is the source of this 2040-nucleotide long non-coding RNA. RefSeq lists it as uncharacterized. The transcript has 2 exons. Lineage: Eukaryota; Metazoa; Chordata; Mammalia; Rodentia; Cricetidae. The record is from RefSeq and is a predicted model, not a curated record.
UGUGGCGCUGCAGACCUCCCCGCAGGGUUACACGGGGCCAUUAGCUAACGCCUUUGUCUAUAAUUAUAUACAACAGGCAACAUUCACUUAGCAGAUCAUCUGGGAUGCGCUUCCCAUUUCAUCCUCGGGAACCACUCCGCAGACUCUGCAAACGCCUGCCUGCUGAAGUCACUGCAAUCACAGGUCCCUCGUCUGUGGGCUAAGGACCAUGGCAAGGAAAGACAAUGAGGUCUAGGAUCCCAGCCUGUGGGGUGGUGCUGUGAGCUUCAGCGUGGGUCUCCCUCCUCGGAUACGUCUCUCCGGAAACACCCUCAGAGCACGUAUCUCCUAGGCAAUUCCAAGUCCCGUCAAGUCGAUGAUGAAGAUGAACCACGUCCCCUGGGUUCUCCUUUGAGGUGUCCCGGAGACACAGGGACUCCUACCCAGCAGGAUGUUGACACCUGCAGGGGUCUGGCCCUUAAGCCACAGCCUGGAGGUCCCCAGAGCUUCUGAGCUGGUGUGAAAUCAGAUAGCAGUCACAGGGCCCUCAGCUCUGGAGUCCCAGCUGCUAUAGCUGGUUCUAGGGUGUCUAGGAGGGCUCUGUGCACAUGACAGCCCGGGAUCCACGUAUCCUUUGCAACCUUCACAUAAUGGCACACAGAGAGGGGCCUCUCCCUCCUCCAUCUGGUAUCUCACAAGUCUCCAACUCUGCCCCAUCAGGCCACCCCAGGGUAAGUGUACAGGGCCCAGCCCUCGGAGGCCAGGGUCCCAUCAUGGCUCUGGGGUCACCAUUUUGACUUUGCUUCGCAGUGUUCAAGCAUAGGCACCAUUGUUUUGCCCAGGGUCUGCCACAGGGGAGGCUCAGCUCAUGGCUGCCCUACAGUGCACCCUCUGUCCUGCAGUUUCUGGCCCCACAGGGUUCCUCUGACCCCUGUGUCCAUGUCUAGGACCAUUGUUGUCUAGCCUUGACUGCCUCACGCCUCUGACUCUAGACGCCCCUAGGGGACACUGGCCACACAGGCCUGUAACCAGCAAACCCUCCCAGGCAGCCUAAGCCAAGUCCAUAUGCUCUCUCUGGCCCACUGCAUACCCUGGAAAGCAAUUUCUUCUCUACCAGUCAAGGUCCUCCCCAUAUCAGGUAUGAGGCCCCCGAGUCACUGUCCCCAAAGGUGUCUACAUCCUACUUAGCCUGUGUGUCUGGAGUCUGAGGUAGCAACAGAAAGGUAUGGCUAUGUGAGGACCCUGAAGUAGGGGUGGCCCUAGAUGUGAUCCCAGUGUCCCAGGAAGAGGGACACAGGAGGACCAGAGUCCAGUGGACACCAGCAGAAGCUGUCAGAGGACAGACCUGUGCAGCAGGCUUUGAAAAUGGGGACGAUGCCAGGCCCCAGAGCACAGGCACCUCUAGGAGCUGAAAGGACCAGGUGGGACUAUCUGGUCCUGGUCAGGGGCACCACCUUGGAGACUUUUGAUAUGGGGUGAUUUUAAGUUGGGAUGAGUUAUUUUACAGCAGGAAUUUCACAAGCCACUCAGCUGUUCCACGUGCAGUGUCCCUCAGCCCCUCAGCUAGCUGGGACCUCUUCCAUACUGACCUCCAUGGGACCCUCUUGGGCCGAUGAACAUUUUGUCUUGGAGACAUCUAUCUGGUAGCUCCUUGGGGAAGCAGUGUGUCUGCCUGGGAGUACAGGAGACACCCAUACACAAGCAGCAGCGGGGUUGAGAAGCUAAGACAGGGCUGACUGAGAGGUAGACACCAGGAGGGGGGGGGACACACUCCAUGGCCCCGCCCACCCUUGCCCAUGGCCCCGCCCACCCUUGUCCCAUGCCUACAGAGGAAGUCCUGCCCACAGGCAGGGCCCUUGAGUACUUCCCCAUGCCCGUGUUCCAGGGAGGGGCCAGACCCGCGUGUGGCUUCACUGUCUUACGCUGCUGCUUCCACAGGGAAGCCUUAAUUGACGCAGCAAAACAAACAUUUGCUUUGGUGAUCCACGCUGAGUUAGAUACAUGGCAUUAUUUUAAUUAAGCCUUGUGACUGAUGAAUCUCAAUAAAGCAGCUGUUCUGGA